GAUGAAGAACGUAGCGAAAUGCGAUAAGUAAUGUGAAUUGCAGAAUUCAGUGAAUCAUCGAAUCUUUGAACGCACAUUGCGCCCUCUGGUAUUCCGGGGGGCAUGCCUGUUCGAGCGUCAUUAUAACCACUCAAGCUCUCGCUUGGUAUUGGAGUUCGCGAUCUCGCGGCUCCUAAAAUCAGUGGCGGUGCCUGUCGGCUCUACGCGUAGUAAUACUCCUCGCGAUUGAGUCCGGUAGGUUUACUUGCCAGCAACCCCCAAUUUUUACAGGUUGACCUCGGAUCAGGUAGGGAUACCCGCUGAGCUUAAGCAUAUCAAUAAGCGGAGGA
RNAcentral lists this unclassified non-coding RNA (329 nucleotides) under soil metagenome. Its description in RNAcentral is "partial contains 5.8S ribosomal RNA, internal transcribed spacer 2, and large subunit ribosomal RNA". The stretch from base 1 to 120 matches the Rfam family "5.8S ribosomal RNA", at positions 35 to 154 of the family's 154-position model. The record is from RNAcentral.